Molecule: ribosomal RNA, 496 nt
Filed under: uncultured bacterium
Lineage: Bacteria
Description: partial 16S ribosomal RNA
Rfam family: Bacterial small subunit ribosomal RNA
Source: RNAcentral
AUGAACGCUGGCAGCGUGCCUAAUACAUGCAAGUCGAGCGAACAGACGAGGAGCUUGCUCCUCUGACGUUAGCGGCGGACGGGUGAGUAACACGUGGAUAACCUACCUAUAAGACUGGGAUAACUUCGGGAAACCGGAGCUAAUACCGGAUAAUAUAUUGAACCGCAUGGUUCAAUAGUGAAAGACGGUUUUGCUGUCACUUAUAGAUGGAUCCGCGCCGCAUUAGCUAGUUGGUAAGGUAACGGCUUACCAAGGCGACGAUGCGUAGCCGACCUGAGAGGGUGAUCGGCCACACUGGAACUGAGACACGGUCCAGACUCCUACGGGAGGCAGCAGUAGGGAAUCUUCCGCAAUGGGCGAAAGCUUGACGGAGCAACGCCGCGUGAGUGAUGAAGGUCUUCGGAUCGUAAAACUCUGUUAUUAGGGAAGAACAAAUGUGUAAGUAACUAUGCACGUCUUGACGGUACCUAAUCAGAAAGCCACGGCUAACUACGUG